UGGGGAAUAUUGGACAAUGGGGGCAACCCUGAUCCAGCAAUGCCGCGUGAGUGAUGAAGGCCUUAGGGUUGUAAAGCUCUUUCGGCGGGGACGAUGAUGACGGUACCCGCAGAAGAAGCCCCGGCUAACUCCGUGCCAGCAGCCGCGGUAAUACGGAGGGGGCUAGCGUUGUUCGGAAUUACUGGGCGUAAAGGGCGCGCAGGCGGCUGCUCAAGUCAGGCGUGAAAGGCCUGGGCUCAACCCGGGAAUUGCGCUUGAGACUGAGCUGGCUUGAGUGCGGGAGAGGAUGGUGGAAUUCCCAGUGUAGAGGUGAAAUUCGUAGAUAUUGGGAAGAACACCGGUGGCGAAGGCGGCCAUCUGGACCGUAACUGACGCUGAGGCGCGAAAGCGUGGGGAGCAA
This 400-nucleotide ribosomal RNA is filed under the name uncultured bacterium. Its description in RNAcentral is "bacterial SSU rRNA". It matches the Rfam family "Bacterial small subunit ribosomal RNA", at positions 355 to 771 of the family's 1533-position model. The record is from RNAcentral.